AGGAAUAUUGGACAAUGGGUGAGAGCCUGAUCCAGCCAUCCCGCGUGAAGGAUUAAGGUCCUAUGGAUUGUAAACUUCUUUUGUAUAGGGAUAAACCUACUCUCGUGAGAGUAGCUGAAGGUACUAUACGAAUAAGCACCGGCUAACUCCGUGCCAGCAGCCGCGGUAAUACGGAUGGUGCAAGCGUUAUCCGGAUUUAUUGGGUUUAAAGGGUCCGUAGGCUGAUGUGUAAGUCAGUGGUGAAAUCUCGCAGCUUAACUGCGAAACUGCCAUUGAUACUGCAUGUCUUGAGUAAAUUUGAAGUGGCUGGAAUAAGUAGUGUAGCGGUGAAAUGCAUAGAUAUUACUUAGAACACCAAUUGCGAAGGCAGGUCACUAAGAUUUAACUGACGCUGAUGGACGAAAGCGUGGGGAGCGAACAA
RNAcentral lists this ribosomal RNA (421 nucleotides) under uncultured bacterium. Its description in RNAcentral is "bacterial SSU rRNA". It matches the Rfam family "Bacterial small subunit ribosomal RNA", at positions 357 to 775 of the family's 1533-position model. The record is from RNAcentral.